CAAAAAAGACAAACAAAUUUACUCACUCACCUGUCUGCUUCCUCGAUGAUGGUACCAACAUUCCGGAGAACAGCCUGUGUGGGGAGAUAGAAGCUUUACAAGCAUACAUACAUAUGUUCACGCGCCUUGGCGGUAUUUUAUUCCUAGUUUUGCGAUCAGUUAAUCAAUCGCUCUUGAUUGCGUGCAUUGCGCGGGUGCCUCAAACAACAAAUAAAGUUGAAAAAAAAACCCAAAUGCUCUUGUAAUUUUAACUACCUGGUCUAAGUGACCAAGAAUUUGAUAAAAAAAGGAAGAAAGUGCCCUAAAGUGAAAUAAAAGCUAAUAAAAAAAAAACCAAGCAAUGAGCUUUCUUUCUACAAAUGAUUCCUCCUAUAAAAGUAAAUGCGUAAAACUAAUAAACGGAUAACAUAAUAAAGAGAAAACAAAAGUAAUAAUAAUAAUAAUGCAUGUAGAAAGGGAAUACUACUGGUGUGCUAAAUAAGGCAACAAAAAAAAAAAAACACAACAAAAAUCACCAAGUAGUGAAUAAAUGCUAACUAAAAAAAAAAAGGAAAUUGCUAGCUUAUAAUGUACAAAGGCUUAAAAGUUCAACGCAUAAGCUAACGGAAAAAAAGUAGGAAACGGAAUUGCAAAAAAAAAGGAAAAAAAAAAACUACUACUAAAAUACAAGGGGAAAUAUUGUGUUCGUAUAAAAAGUUCAACAGGCAACACUGCCGAUAUUUUCAUCGAUUGUUUUGUGGAAAUUCAUUGUCUUAUUACGCAAAUUCAAAGUCUCUUAUUCACAUUUCGUAUUAAAGAACUAGAGUUUUACAAGACGUAAAGUUUUGCAUAUUUACAAGUAAGUAUACCACACCAUAAAAGUGAAAGUGCAAAUAUUAAUAAAUUGUGCAAAUAUUAAUAAUUUGUGUGCCCGUCUACAUUCGCUGGUGCUGCGAUUUUUAUAUACUUCCAGGAUUCUAAUCUGAUCGCAGGUACAACUUUUUCCUUACCGCAAGCUCAACAUCAUCGCAGCGCAACCCACUUUUAGCGCAAGGCCUUUACAAUAUCGCACACCGUGUUCAAAAGAGUCACAACUCAAAUAAUAAGUUUGUAAGAAAAUGCGAAAAACUAUUUCUUAGCACAUGGUAA
Rhagoletis pomonella (apple maggot) is the source of this 1128-nucleotide long non-coding RNA. RefSeq lists it as uncharacterized. The transcript is spliced from 3 exons. The record is from RefSeq and is a predicted model, not a curated record. NCBI's taxonomy places the organism in Eukaryota, Metazoa, Arthropoda, Insecta, Diptera, Tephritidae.